RNAcentral lists this non-coding RNA (180 nucleotides) under Ricinus communis (castor bean). Its description in RNAcentral is "Bacterial small subunit ribosomal RNA". It matches the Rfam family "Bacterial small subunit ribosomal RNA", at positions 112 to 308 of the family's 1533-position model. Lineage: Eukaryota; Viridiplantae; Streptophyta; Magnoliopsida; Malpighiales; Euphorbiaceae. The record is from Rfam by way of RNAcentral.
AUCGCGUAAGAACCAGCCCUUGGAAGGGGAACAACAGCUGGAAACGGUUGCUAAUACUCUAUAGGCUAAGGAACAAAAGGAGGAACCAACCCGAGAAGGGGUUGGCGUCUGAUUAGCUAGUUGGUGAGGCAAUAGCUUACCAAAGCGAUGAUCAGUAGCUGGCCCAAGAGGAUGAUCAGC